GGGGGGGGGGGGGGGGGGGGCGGGGGGGUGGGGGGGGGGGGGACAGGCGGGGAGCUUGCGGGUGGGGCGUUAGGUUCGGACGUGUGGGUACGGCGUGGCUAGCCUCCCUAGAAGGCUGUGGUGAAUUGUGGAAACCGGGGCUGAAACCGGCUCCUAUAUUUACACUCAGGGUUCCCUCUUGAGAGGCGGUUGUGCUGUGACUUGUAUCUGGAUCCGCGACUCAUGAUCUAGUUGGUAAGGUAACGGCGUACCAAGGCCACGAUGCGGAUCCUACCUGAGAGGGUGAUCGGCCACACUGGAACGGAGACACGGUCCAGACUCCUACGGGAGGCAGCAGUAGGGAAGCUUCCGCAAUGGGCGAAAGCCUGACGGAGCAACGCCGCGUGAGUGAUGAAGGUCUUCGGAUCGUAAACCUCUGUUAUUAGGGAAGAACAAAUGUGUAAGUAACUAUGCACGUCUUGACGGUACCUAAUCAGAAAGCCACGGCUAACUACGUG
Molecule: ribosomal RNA, 497 nt
Filed under: uncultured bacterium
Lineage: Bacteria
Description: partial 16S ribosomal RNA
Rfam family: Bacterial small subunit ribosomal RNA
Source: RNAcentral